This 484-nucleotide ribosomal RNA is filed under the name uncultured bacterium. RNAcentral describes it as "partial 16S ribosomal RNA". It matches the Rfam family "Bacterial small subunit ribosomal RNA", at positions 30 to 507 of the family's 1533-position model. The record is from RNAcentral.
AUUGAACGCUGGCGGCAGGCCUAACACAUGCAAGUCGAGCGGAUGAAGGGAGCUUGCUCCUGGAGUCAGCGGCGGACGGGUGAGUAAUGCCUAGGAAUCUGCCUGGUAGUGGGGGAUAACGUCCGGAAACGGGCGCUGAUACCGCAUACGUCCUGAGGGAGAAAGUGGGGGAUCUUCGGACCUCACGCUAUCAGAUGAGCCUAGGUCGGAUUAGCUAGUUGGUGGGGUAAAGGCCUACCAAGGCGACGAUCCGUAACUGGUCUGAGAGGAUGAUCAGUCACACUGGAACUGAGACACGGUCCAGACUCCUACGGGAGGCAGCAGUGGGGAAUAUUGGACAAUGGGCGAAAGCCUGAUCCAGCCAUGCCGCGUGUGUGAAGAAGGUCUUCGGAUUGUAAAGCACUUUAAGUUGGGAGGAAGGGCAGUAAGUUAAUACCUUGCUGUUUUGACGUUACCAACAGAAUAAGCACCGGCUAACUUCGUG